This 708-nucleotide long non-coding RNA is filed under the name Triticum aestivum (bread wheat). RNAcentral describes it as "long non-coding RNA (TAES_LNC000673)". Lineage: Eukaryota; Viridiplantae; Streptophyta; Magnoliopsida; Poales; Poaceae. The record is from RNAcentral.
GCAUUCCCUGAUUUCCUGCACUGGCUUCACCUUGUCGAGAAGUUCCAUAGUAUUGUUGAGCCCCUGGAGACUGUAGUCGACUCUCAGGAGAUGAAACAGGUACCAUUUGGCCCUUGAAAGAUAAGAAAAAACAAAAAUAUCAACCCUAAAUAUAGGCUCCAACAUGUUUUUAUUUCACAAAAUUAGAGCUAAAUAGCUAAAGCCAAGUAAGAUUAUAGACCAAGCAGCAUGACAGAGCUUUCCAAGAUGCAUAUAGAAUAGACUCAUUUGUGACUGAACUUAAUUCUUUUCUUUGAGCAAAUCAUUAUUACCUAGUUUGAACAUUUGUCUCCCAGGAAACAUCAACAUGGCAAUAGUAAUUCAAGUAGCAACAUAAUGCAAGUAUAGACAGGCCAUAUAAACAGAGUCAUGAGAUAAAACGAAAGGAUCAAAGGUUAGACUUGCAGAAAUCCAAAUAAAGGGAAAAGGAUAAGUUAAAAGUUGAGACAUGAAACUGAUGUAUUUCUUAUGUUUUUCCCCUGUUGGUCUAGGAAAUAAACAGAUAAACACAUCAUGACUAAGAGAAAAUUCAUUAUAUUGUGUUACUAUGAAAUGAGAUGAUCUUACAGGAUAUGAGUUCCAGUUUGGUACUUGAACAAGACCCUGUGGUACAAUCAUCGGUGUAUAGUUUGAAGGACUUUGCCAUCUAGGGCUUGGAAUGAAAGAACC